RNAcentral lists this ribosomal RNA (726 nucleotides) under uncultured bacterium. RNAcentral's name for it is "bacterial SSU rRNA". It matches the Rfam family "Bacterial small subunit ribosomal RNA", at positions 46 to 814 of the family's 1533-position model. The record is from RNAcentral.
GCUUUCCAUGCAGUCGUACGAAAGUGUUAAAACUUUAGUGGCGGACGGGUGAGUAACACGUCGAGAAUUUACCUUUAGGAGGGGAAUAACAGUUGGAAACGACUGCUAAUGCCGCAUAUCAUAACUAUGAAAGAAGAAAUUCGCCUAAAGAAAAGCUUGCGUCUGAUUAGCUAGUUGGUAAGGGUAAAGGCCUACCAAGGCGACGAUCAGUAGCUGGUUUGAGAGGACGACCAGUCACACUGGAACUGAGACACGGUCCAGACUCCUACGGGAGGCAGCAGUGGGGAAUUUUCUGCAAUGGGCGAAAGCCUGACAGAGCAAUACCGCGUGAGGGAAGAAAGCCCACAGGGUUGUAAACCUCUUUUGUCAAGGAAGAAGUUCUGACGUUACUUGACGAAUAAGCAUCGGCUAACUCCGUGCCAGCAGCCGCGGUAAGACGGGGGAUGCAAGUGUUAUCCGGAAUCACUGGGCGUAAAGCGUUUGUAGGUGGUUUAGUAAGUCUAUUGUUAAAGCUUGAAGCUUAACUUCAAAAAUGUAAUAGAAACUACUAGACUUGAGGAUAGUAGGGGUAAAGGGAAUUUCCAGUGGAGCGGUGAAAUGCGUAGAGAUUGGAAGGACCACCGAUGGCGAAGGCACUUUACUGGGCUAUUUCUGACACUAAGAGACGAAAGCUAGGGUAGCGAAUGGGAUUAGAUACCCCAGUAGUCCUAGCUGUAAACGAUGGAU